RNAcentral lists this ribosomal RNA (1017 nucleotides) under uncultured fungus. Its description in RNAcentral is "eukaryotic LSU rRNA". The stretch from base 664 to 817 matches the Rfam family "5.8S ribosomal RNA". The record is from RNAcentral. Lineage: Eukaryota; Fungi.
UCGUAACAAGGUUGAUUCUUCGCACCUGCGGAAGCCUUUGCAGCUGGAAACAGUAGCUGAGCGACUAUAAACAAUAUCGGCCUUAUGCAAGUCAGCGUCUGCUGGCAACACUUUCGAAUUGCGGGAAACUCCUAAAAGCCCUUCACACCAAACCGUCGUGGGAAACUACUCGGUGCCCGUGGGAAACUACGGGGUAUGGUAACAGCGGAAGGGAUGAGCCAGCACUGUAAGGUGCGAGUGAAAUGGACAAUCCGCAGCGAAGCCCCUGCCGUUCCUAGUAGCUGAGUCGAGAUAUUGUCAACGCUCUGCCUUUGACUCUUCUUUGUAGCAACUAAACAUGGGGAACGUUCACAGACUAAGUGGAAGUGGGUGGGGUCUUCAUGUGAAUACCCUGCUUAAGAUAUAGUCGGGCCUCAGUGGAAACACUGGGGAUCAUAACCGUUCCGUAGGUGAACCUGCGGAAGGAUCAUUACCCUAUACCAUCGGCGGGUCGGUGUUGGGGAUUGCGGCACCCAUCAGGGAAGCCCUCUCUCCUCCCCGCCCUUGUCUGAAUAUACCCAUGAUUUUUGCGUACCNAUUGUUUCCUCGGCAGGCUUGCUUGCCAGUAGGACAUUUUUCAACCUUUUGUAAUUGCAGUCAGCGUCAGAAAAACUUAAUAGUUACNACUUUCAACAACGGAUCUCUUGGUUCUGGCAUCGAUGAAGAACGCAGCGAAAUGCGAUAAGUAGUGUGAAUUGCAGAAUUCAGUGAAUCAUCGAAUCUUUGAACGCACAUUGCGCCCCUUGGUAUUCCAUGGGGCAUGCCUGUUCGAGCGUCAUUUGUAUCUUCAAGCUUUGCUUGGUGUUGGGUGUUUGUCNUGCUCUAUGCGNGGACUCGCCUUAAAUCAAUUGGCAGCCGGUAAUCUGGCGUUAAGAGCGCAGCACAUUGUGCGCUUCCUCGCUGUGUAUUGCGGCGUCCAUUAAGCCUAUAUUUCUUUGCUCUUGACCUCGGAUCAGGUAGGGAUACCCGCUGAACUUA